AUCGGCGAGCUGGGGAAGCGGAAUGGCCUCCAAAGCCGUUUGCCAGGGGGUUCGAGUCCCUCCGCCGGUG
RNAcentral lists this transfer RNA (70 nucleotides) under Kibdelosporangium phytohabitans. Its description in RNAcentral is "tRNA-Trp". Lineage: Bacteria; Bacillati; Actinomycetota; Actinomycetes; Pseudonocardiales; Pseudonocardiaceae. The record is from RNAcentral.